RNAcentral lists this ribosomal RNA (523 nucleotides) under uncultured bacterium. RNAcentral's name for it is "bacterial SSU rRNA". It matches the Rfam family "Bacterial small subunit ribosomal RNA", at positions 777 to 1304 of the family's 1533-position model. The record is from RNAcentral.
AAUAGAUACCCGGGUAGUCCACGCCCUAAACGAUGUCUACUAGUUGUCGGGUCUUAAUUGACUUGGUAACGCAGCUAACGCGUGAAGUAGACCGCCUGGGGAGUACGGUCGCAAGAUUAAAACUCAAAGGAAUUGACGGGGACCCGCACAAGCGGUGGAUGAUGUGGAUUAAUUCGAUGCAACGCGAAAAACCUUACCUACCCUUGACAUGGUCGGAAUCCUGGAGAGAUCUGGGAGUGCUCGAAAGAGAGCCGAUACACAGGUGCUGCAUGGCUGUCGUCAGCUCGUGUCGUGAGAUGUUGGGUUAAGUCCCGCAACGAGCGCAACCCUUGUCAUUAGUUGCUACGAAAGGGCACUCUAAAUGAGACUGCCGGUGACAAACCGGAGGAAGGUGGGGAUGACGUCAAGUCCUCAUGGCCCUUAUGGGUAGGGCUUCACACGUCAUACAAUGGUGCAUACAGAGGGCUGCCAACCCGCGAGGGGGAGCUAAUCCCAGAAAGUGCAUCGUAGUCCGGAUUGUAGU